Long non-coding RNA from Equus quagga, 6628 nucleotides. RefSeq lists it as uncharacterized. The transcript has 2 exons. The record is from RefSeq and is a predicted model, not a curated record. NCBI's taxonomy places the organism in Eukaryota, Metazoa, Chordata, Mammalia, Perissodactyla, Equidae.
CACUUAAGAGCUCAGACAGCAUCCAGCUUCAACUUCCUCCAAGGGCAAAAAGCUAUAAAAAGUCUUUUGAAGAGCAAUGGUUCAGUAAAGAGGGCUAUUAAGAACGAUAGACUGGAAAUAAAAGGGAUGAAAUGAAGAUUAUCUGGGAAAAUAUGCCACUUCCUGUUCCAUUAGGAAUUUCCUGAAAGCGCAGGCUGUCAGCCAGGGCUCGAGAGCACCAACUCCUCUACCACACGGUUUGCGCCUCGAUGUGCGUUCACUCAGGUGCUGUUGGAGGUAACUUUCCAUAGCAACCUUUAAGGUUACUGCGUGCACACUGCAUGCCAUGUGCUAUAUGUGCUGUGCUGCACACGUGUUCUCUCUGACCUCGGUCCUUCCAGCAGUCCUUUGAGGGAGUGUUGUCACGCCUGUGUUUGGGAUGAGGAAACAGGCGCAAAAUGAUUUGACCUUGACCCCACAGCUACCAACUGAGAGCUGGGUUCCUGAUCUGGGGACGCUGUCACCACGUGGUCUUUUCCAUCCAACAACAUCGGGGAUGUCUUUGUCCUCUCAGGUUAAACAAGGCCCUUGCUUGUCUGGGGUGAAUUGUUACCACUCAGGUAGUAGCAGUUGUCCUUACGGCCUGAGUGUGGUGCUGGCACUUUCUUUUCCUGCAUUUGCUAGUCCCUGGGAGGACGAUUGACGCCAUUGGGCAUUCCAGGUCACGCAAGUGUUCAGAAUCCUGUGGCACAGUUUAGAGUGUUAGCAAGGAGGCUGGCUAAGUAGGACAGCUGUGCUGUGUGCCAGUUCCUCUCCUUGGAAGUUCCAAAAUGAAGCCACUGUCCAUUCCCCCUGAGCCACUGAUUCGUAGCUGGACCCUCAGACACUAAAGGGCCGUUGCCCCUUUGCAGGCUGUCAGAGUGUGCGGUGCCUGAGCGGGGCAUGUAUGCAGGUCAUUUCCAGGCUGCAUAUUUACUGGCAGAGCCGAGAGUACGGGGUCCUCCUGCCCGGGCUGGUGGUCAGGGGAGCAGUUUGGUGGUCCACUCCUUCAGUGAGCGAAGAGUCCCUGUCCUGGUGGGCUGACAGCUGAGGAGGCAGAAAAGUGUGGUGGAGCUAAAUGGGGGCCUGCUGCCAAGGGAAGGGCAGGGACACAGUCGGGCUGAGAGCCGGAGGAUGAGGAGCCCGUCCUGUGAUGUGAGGAGGACACAGUGCAUGCAGAGGCCCUGAGCCCCUGAGCUGGAGGACGGAGAACAGAGGGCAAGAGAGGAGACAUGGCAAGGAAUCGAGGGGUCAGAUCUGGGAGACGAGACCCCUGAGGAAUACGCACGCAAGGGUGGGAGUCUGCUGAAGUGAGGUGAGCUGCAGAAGCGCAAGAGGCGGGUCUCAAGGCGAAGCAGCUACCCCAGAGUGCUCCCUCUGGGCUCACGUCCCCACAAAAAGGCUUCUUCCUCGGAUUUGUCACCUUGACUAUUUGUGGUCCACUUUGGACAGGAUCGAGCUUCCAGAAGUACUUCGUUUUUGCCUGAGGUGUGGGCUCAGGGAGGUGGAGAGAGAGAUGGAGGCUGUGCACCCAAGAAGCUAGUCUCAGAUGCGCCUCGAAAGCUGCUUCCUGGAGACACUUGAAGUCGUGGAGGCAUUCAGCAAGCGUCUGCCUCGGAGACGAUUAGUGCUGUACCAUGAGUGUCAACAAGGAAGGACCGUUAAGCCCAGAUGAGCCUUUUAGAUUUUUGCUGGAAGACCAGGUUCCUGUUGAUGGAGAUGAAAUAUUUGAUGAAAGGGUUACAGGAGUGUUGAAAGCAUGAGUUGCGUUUCCAUACUUCUAGUUGAUCUGGACCAGUAGUUGUCUACCUCAACCCACCUGAGGUACACAACCCAACACACCUGAGGAUGCUUUUAGCAAGAGCUCAAAUGGAUCAUCUUCCUUUACCCUCCUCAGAAUUCCACAAGGCAGGAAUUACACCCAUUGUACAGAUGAGGCACCUGGAGCUCAGAGAAAAUAAGUGACUCGUCCAAGGCUACAAAGGGAGGAGUUGGGAGUGUUGAUUCAAAAGUCUCCCUGUGAUCCACUGCGCCCUCUGGAGGCGGAUCCCUCCCAGCAGCCCAGGCCGUGCUCUGAGGGGCCUGCUCUGAGCCACCUACGCCCCUGCGCCCUCCCUACCCCACACCCAGCCCGGGGCCCCAGGCUUCAGCACUGGAGGAGGGGAAGAGAGGAUCUGGGGCUCCUUGGGAGUCUUUUUAAUUUCAGGUCUUCUCCUGAGAACAACAGAAAAAACCGUGAGUGCACCCUGGAGACCAGGCCUGCUUUUUGCAUGUUUUUCCCUGCUGCGUAAUUUCCCACAGAGCUUUUUUUCUCUCCACACUACUCCAGGGGUGUAUUUAUAGAGCGCACACAUGGCAGGUCCUGCCCUGGGCAGGAUGCAAAGUUGAAUGGGCAGUGUGCCCGAUCUCAGGGCUCUCAGAGAUAGGUGGAAAUAGUAUCAGAAAACAGGCCCUAAUACAAAUAAUAAUUGAGAUUCGAAGCGAGUGCUGUGGAAACGGACAACUGGAUUCGUUACUACUUGGAAUGGGAGGAGGCGUGGCUUUCCAGCAGAGAUGGCAUUUAAGCCAGUGUGAGAAUGGCUAGUGUGGAGCAUGGCUGAUGGGAGAUGGGAGGUGACAGAACUGCACGGUGUGAUACGGGAACACCUGGGAGUGGGUAAAUGGGCUGUGAUGGUGGGAAAGGGCUUGGAGGGUGGGAGAGGUUGGGAAUUCUCUCAGGGAGGGUCCAGGUCGCUGUCUACUGAUGAGGACAUUUCAUAACUACUAAGGGGUCUUUUCAAAGAGCUAAGAAUGAGCACUGGGCAUAUUAACUUGCUAUGAAAUGUGCCUCCUAAUUGACCAACCCCCCCAUGCUGUUCACAUAUUUGUGAGAGAAAUAUGAUUUUACAAAUUCACCAUGGAUUGGGACAAGGAGGGUGGAGGCAAGGUUUUCCCAUGUUCACUUGCAGGCAGAGUGGACUGGACGGUGGAAGGGCUUGCACAGUGCUCCCUAACGGCAGCGGGUGUGCUCUGAAAUGCCGUGUCGGGGUGCGUUUGAAAAGUACACAUCACUCUUUCGUUGUUGGGGUCUGGGCUGCUGUCAUUUGUGUCAGGAGGGCUCAGCGAGAGACGACUGAACCUGGAAUCGCCCUGAAGAGCCAUUUGCCAGUCCCUGCCCUGUCUUCUGCCCCUGGGCAUGGGCCAUUAUGGUGUUGAUGUUGGGAAGUUUCCAGAGUAAUUUGUGGGAUUCUUGGUCACCCAGAAGAAAAACGUAGUAAUGAAAUGAGCAUAGAACUUCGGGUCAGAGACCUCCUCAGUGGCCCUGCAUUGCCACUCAGGAGCCACGUGAUCUUGGACAAUUCUUUAUCUUCCCUCAGCCUCAGGCUUCAGUGUCUUCAUAUGGAAAAUGUGGCCGGGGAGCCAGCUGGUCUUGAAGAGCCUUCCAAGUGUAUGAGGCUCUGGACCGAGUCUCCCUGCCCGGUUUGCCGAAGGGUUAUUCCAUCACUUCUCAUAAGCACAGCUGUUAUUUCGGUUCUGAGGGGCUGACUCUAAAGAGAAUAGGCGCUCUACUUGAUCACAAGAAAACAGCAAAGGGAGCCCCAGAGGCCAACACAGUCAUUUGCUGGGUUCUAAUUGCCGGCGUUCUUUCUGCUGAGAACAAAGCUUUAAAGGAUGUGGACUUAGAGCCAAACACGGGCACGAGGCAUUAUUAGUCCACAGAAGGAAAGCAGGGUGGCAACCAAGAAGUCCUUCGGGGGUGACAAAGCCUGCUUUUUGGAGAGGGGCACCAAGACCCUCAAAAUUAACCACUCUAUUUAUAGCAACAGCAGCAAUACCAAGAUAACUCUGCACACUCCCAGCCUCCGCCAGCCCAACGGGAAAAUUAGCAAAAGUCAGACUCCUGAAACCGGACCACGUCACCAAAGUGCUCAAGACCCUUGAGUCGCUGCAAGGGGGAAGAAUGGCUGUCUGGGUAUCGCAUCUGAACCCUUUUCCCCAGAACACCUGUACCAAGCUGUGACUUCUCUGGGGAAGGAAGUGUGAUUUCAUCCUGUUUCCCAGGGAAGAUUUGCCCCGAGAGGAUUCCAUUGCGAACAGAAAAGAGAAGGAUGCGUUGUUCAGUGGUCACCAUCAGAAGUAGGGAUUAUGCAAAAUGGACUCUUGACCUCGCCAUUCCAAAUGAGUGGGAGACUCCACUAUUUCCGUAAAGCUUGUAUUGAGCUAAAUGGUGUGACAUGCAUGUGGCACCCUUUGUCCAAGUGAAUCCGAAAGUGUAAGCACCUCUGUGGAAGACUAGAUACUUUUUUGACAGAGAUGUCAAAUUCUGUUAACUGGUACAUUCAAUUCUCAUUAUUUGAAGAUUGUGUGUUUGCCAAUUUGCCCACUCGCAAAAAUUUAUUGGUAACCCCCAAAUCAACAUGCAUAGUCUUUUCAAGGUCAUUGACUGAUAAGAGUGGCAAAAAUUUGAGUCUUCUGACAAGUCCGUUCCCAGCCAAGGUUGAACAAGGAAACACUCUACCUUCUUGUUUCAGCUGUCAUAUUGCAAAUGUGCCUUUUUUGUGGUGUAUUUCGUGUCAUGUUUUUGCAUUUGUGUGCUUUUUGUUGGUGAUUUUGCUGUUUAAACGGCCCCCAAGUGUCGUGCUGCAGUGCUGUGCAGUGUCCCUAAGCAUGAGAAGGCAGUGAUGUGCCUUAUGGAGAAAGUAACUGUGUUACAUGAGCUUUGUUCACAUGUGAGUUAUAGUGCUCUUGGCCUUCUUCAACGUUAAUGACUCAACAAUAUAUAUUAAAUAAGGUGUCUUUACAAAGAAACACACAUAAGGCAAGAUUGGAUAUUGAUGGGUUGACAUAAAUGUUAUGAUCAGAAGCUUGCAGGAACCUAACCCUGCAUUUCCUCUAGGAGCAAUGGUGUUCUCUAAUUCAGUGUUCCCGGCAACUUUAUAGGACAUACCUAUCGCUAGAAUCAACUGUGUUUGACUCUGGGGUUUGUGCUUUGUUUUCCUGCUAAGGACCUCUUUGACAUCUUUCUCUAAUUCUCUGACUUUUAUCUGCAAUAAAGGAGAUUUUUAUUUCCACCAUUGUUCUUAUUCUGCUUGCCUGGUUUGUCUCCCGCCACCAUGCCUUCCCUCCCCAUCCACACUUAGUUUCAUCCUCCGCCCUGGCUCCUGUCCACUAGGGAGCUGUACGUCUGCACGAGCCAGGGCCCCUCUCUCUGAAAGGAGCACUUAGUGCCUCUGCAGAAGGGUUUGGCGAGGUGGCCAGAAAAAGCCAGACUGUGAGAGAAGAACUUGGACACAGUGCUCCGUUGAUCUCCCAGCAUUAGGAGAGGGCAGAUGCGGUGGGGUUUAUUUAAGGCCAUGGAAGGAAGCGGGUAAUGAAAUAAGGAGUAUAGCAGCCCCCCCUCAGGGCCUGUGGUAUCUCAAGGGUUUUCCUAACACUCUCCAAAUCAGAUACAUUUUAAUUACCUUUAAAGCAACAGCAAAAGGUUGUUCACAAAGCAAGAUCACAAGGAAUUUUAAAGGCGCUGAUUUUACAAAGUUAGCAGUUAUGACCAAUGUUUUGAAAACUUGUUCUUCUUCCAUAUGCCUCUUACCAGAUCUAAAUAUAGUAAUAUGGAAUAAGUUAGUUAUGGUGGUUAAGCAAAUGUUGAAGACAUCCCUGUUUGCUCAGUACUCCCUUAUUCCUCCUAAUCAGAAUGCAACGGUUUGGGGUUAAAUCUCUAUUCUGGUGAAAUGGGAAGCUAUGCGAUGAUUCUCCCUGUCCUUACAGCACCGUUCAUACUCUGCUUGCUUUCCUAAAACUUGCACGUGGAUAGAUAAACUAGAAACAUUCUACUUUUUAAGAAGUUCUAACCUACAUAAAAGUCCAGGAGAUACUAUAAUAUAAUGAGGUAUUCAGCACUCAGCUUUAACAGAUACUGUUUUUUUCUCUAUUCCCUUCAGAUCUUUUAAAGAAAUAAAAUGUUAGAUAUAGUUGAAGUUCUCUUUUGUACCUCUUCUUAUCCUAUUUCUUCCUUCCCAAGAGGAGGCCAUCAUUCUGAAGUCAGUGUGUAUCAUUUAUGUCCAUUUUAUGUUUCAUUAUGUAGAAGCAGCUGUAAUUUAUCAUACUGUUUUGUGGAUUUUUAAUGAACUAAACAGAUUCAUGGUCUGGAGGCCUCAGCCACGUGGCUUUUUUCAUUCAACACUAUCAUUUUGAGCUCUCUCAUGUAGAUCUAGUACAUUGAUCUCCGCUGCCCAUAGGGUGCCAGCGAUGACUACAUUGCCUUGUCCACUUGCCUCUUAAUGGGCAAGUCCAAGUUUACAGUGUUUUGAGUGACCCUGCAGUGAACUUCCUGGCCAAUAUCUCCUGGGGCAUACAUGUGAGUAUUUCACCAGACGUUGAAUUGCUGGCUCAUUGGGUAUUUUCAUUUUCAUCUUUCCUAGUUCUUGACAAAUUUCUCUUGUGAGUCUUUACCAAUUUACACACCCAGCAGCAAGAUUUGAGAGUUCCUGUUUUCAAAUACCUCCCAAUAAAUGGUAAUACCGUGCUUUUUUUCUUAAAAAGAAAUUUUGCUGAUCUAAUGAGUGUCAAAGAGAUACCUCUUUUUUAAACUUGUAUUUUCUCUCUUAAUAAUAAACGUGAGCUUAUUUUCGUG